GGGAGCUGAACAUCAGCUCCAUCACUAAAAAGGCAUGGCAGGGGACGUUCUUCCUGACGUAGCUGAAUUCAACCUGCCAAAGACCAUGAUGGUGCACUUCCAUCCUCUGCUCCUCCAUCACCGUCUGGUACGCUGCAGCCACUGCUAAGGACAGAGCCAGACUGCAGCGGAUCAUCUAUAUUUUAUUUUAUUUGUCAUUAGUAUUGUGUAUUGUGUAUGCAUAUAUGUUAUAUAUAUACAUAUAUAUUUUAUUUUAUAUUUUACUUUGUAUACUCCUAUAUCUUUCAUCCCUGUUUUUUAUAUUUUAUUUUUUAUUCUUGUGUGUUUAGUUUAUUGGUGCUGCUACUGUGACGACAAAUUUCCCCUUGGGGAUUAAUAAAGUAUAUAUCUAUCGAUCUAUCAUCUAUCUAUCUAUCUGCUCCGCUGAGAGAGUGAUUGGCUGCAAUCUGCCAUCCCUCCAGGACUUGUCUGCUUCCAGGACCCUGAAGCGAGCAAGGAAGAUUGUAGCUGACUCCUCUCACCCGGGUCCCCCACUGACUUACGUCCCCAGGACAAUUUCCUUCCGCGCACCUAAUUAUUCACUUAAAUACACUGCAUACACUUAGGAAAAAGUGGCCUUCAUACUUCAAGGACAAAGUCAUCGCAGAAUGCCAGAGUCUUCCCCAAAGUCUCCAUGUCAAGGAGUUGCUGGCUUUUGACACUGAGGCUGAGAAUGACUUUGAUGUCUUCAAGGCUGGGAUAGUGAUAUGUCAGCUCUUCUGUUGCUGUUGCAUCUCCUGCCUCCUACAUCAAGAGGCCACAAAAAACAGCCAAAGGAAGCUCAGCCCAGGCAGCCAACCAUCUUGUAAGGUUUAUUAAGGAAGGAGCCAGCAUGACUACAUUCCUGGAGAAAGAUGAUGCUAGACAGCCCUUCCUCCUCUGCAUCUGUGAGCAAAGGAAGAACAUCGAAAGAUUCUUCAUCAUUGUGGACCAAAAAGCUGUCCCCUUAACGCUCGGACAUCGGUGGCUGCUGAUGGUGUGUUAUUCAAAGCUCACUAUGUCUUCAGCAUCUCCUACGACGAAGCUCUUUUCAGUUUCUACACCCUCAUUCAAACCACGGUGUACAACGUCGAUGUACUUUGAUGACCAUUUCCAUGCAUAUUGUAUAGAGGAGCAAAGCAGUGAACGUGUUCUGAUUGGUCUUGACAAACUGCCAUAUGUUAGACCUUUUGAUAAACUACUCUAAUGAGAGUGACAGAGCAUACAUUGUUCCAUAUUAUUGUAUGUUUUGAAAAGCAUUGUAAAAUGUGUAUGUGAUGCACUGGUUUUAAAAUAAAUAUGUUUUAAAACUA
Pseudoliparis swirei is the source of this 1331-nucleotide long non-coding RNA. RefSeq lists it as uncharacterized. The transcript is spliced from 3 exons. The record is from RefSeq and is a predicted model, not a curated record. Lineage: Eukaryota; Metazoa; Chordata; Actinopteri; Perciformes; Liparidae.